Meleagris gallopavo (turkey) is the source of this 238-nucleotide non-coding RNA. Lineage: Eukaryota; Metazoa; Chordata; Aves; Galliformes; Phasianidae. The record is from RefSeq and is a predicted model, not a curated record.
CGUGUCCCUUCUGCCCUGAGGACUCUUCGUAUGGACACAGCGCUCCAGCUCGGUGUCGUCAGCAAAUUCUCUGAGGGUGCGCCCGACCCGCCGGUGCUGUCACUGAUGCAGAUAUUGAAGAGUCCCAGCCCCAGCUCGGUGCUCUUUCCCAGCACAGAGGGACUUCACCUGAUUGCCAUGACUUCUCAAAUACCGCUGGGAGUGGCUUGGCGAUGACAUCACCAAACUCCCUUACGAC